AAUAUGGUUAAUGAGAAGGCUUGUUUAAGUGCCCCAGCUGAUAAUGCAACAUCUUCACUCCAGCAGUGAUAGUCAAAAUGUCCAGGAAACUUCGAAGGAAGAUUUAGGGAGGCAUCCAGAGUUCAGACGGAGUAACCACAAUAUAAUCACAUCCUGGAGUACAAUCAUUAGGGUGCUGAUGAUCAGAAAAGUGGAUGAAGAAGGAAAUGCGGGAGAUUACUAGUAAGCUGUGUUUGAUUUAUGGUGAUUUUUGCAUUGAGACUCCCAGAAGCCACAGGGAAGUGUCCGGAUGUCCGGACAAGCCAACAUACAAUCUGAUAUUGUGCGACUACACAGCUAUAUGUAGCUAUAUAGCUACAUUCCGGAUUGAGCAGUAAGGAAAAUCCAGAAAAUCUGAUUUUAGUAAGAUUCCGGGCAGCGAUCAGUGGGCAGUAUAUUGAGCUUGAAGUUCAGUCCCAAACUAACUGGAAAACACUAUUUUAAUUCUGAAUCGAAAUUCUCUACAAGCAUUGACUUUUCAUCGUAUCCGGAAACAAAAGAAUAUCUUCAGUCUCUUUAGUAAAACCUUUUCAGUUUUGGAAAUAAAAAAACUGAAAACUUGCAGAUUUUGUUAGAUUUGUUAUAGUUUUGAAGCAGAAUACAAAAUAAUCCUGCGAAGGUCACCGGCUAGACGCUAGAGGAUCUUGCACAGCUCAUGGACGAACAAUAAGUAUAUUAUUGAUUAAAAUAUAUUAAAAACUGAAAACAUAAGAGUUUCGUAAACUCUUUGAUUUGUAAUGAAAUUAAGGAAUGUGGGAAUAAAUAAGCGCUAAAUAAA
Long non-coding RNA from Phlebotomus papatasi, 817 nucleotides. RefSeq lists it as uncharacterized. NCBI's taxonomy places the organism in Eukaryota, Metazoa, Arthropoda, Insecta, Diptera, Psychodidae. The transcript has 2 exons. The record is from RefSeq and is a predicted model, not a curated record.